RNAcentral lists this ribosomal RNA (144 nucleotides) under Amanita sp. 'aureosubucula'. RNAcentral describes it as "partial 28S ribosomal RNA". It matches the Rfam family "Eukaryotic large subunit ribosomal RNA", at positions 1 to 142 of the family's 3401-position model. The record is from RNAcentral. Lineage: Eukaryota; Fungi; Basidiomycota; Agaricomycetes; Agaricales; Amanitaceae.
UUGACCUCAAAUCAGGUAGGACUACCCGCUGAACUUAAGCAUAUCAAUAAGCGGAGGAAAAGAAACUAACAAGGAUUCCCUUAGUAACUGCGAGUGAAGAGGGAAAAGCUCAAAUUUAAAAUCUGACAGUGUUUCACUGUCCGA